This 909-nucleotide ribosomal RNA is filed under the name uncultured archaeon. RNAcentral's name for it is "bacterial SSU rRNA". It matches the Rfam family "Archaeal small subunit ribosomal RNA", at positions 1 to 920 of the family's 1478-position model. The record is from RNAcentral.
UUCCGGUUGAUCCUGCCGGAAGCCACCGCUAUUGGAAUCCGAUUAAGACAUGUGAGUCGAGAGUCUUCGGGACUCGGCAGACGGCUCAGUAACACGCGGAUAAUCUGCCCUUAGGUGGGGAAUAAUCUCGGGAAACUGAGCAUAAUACCCCAUAGGCCUGAGAUGCUGGAACGCCCUCAGGCUAAAAGCUCCGGCGCCUAAGGAUGAGUCUGCGGCCUAUCAGCUUGUAGUUGGUGUAAAUGACCAACUAGGCGACGACGGGUACGGGCAUUGGGAGAUGUAGCCCGGAGAUGGACUCUGAGACACGAGUCCAGGCCCUACGGGGCGCAGCAGUCGCGAAAACUUCACAAUGUGGGAAACCGCGAUGAGGGGAUUCCAAGUGCUUGCGUUUUGCGUAAGCUGUUCUUCUGCCUAAAAAGCAGGGGAAGUAAGGGCUGGGUAAGACGGGUGCCAGCCGCCGCGGUAAUACCCGCAGCCCGAGUGGUGGUCGAUAUUAUUGAGCUUAAAGCGUCCGUAGCCUGUCUGGUAAAUUCUUGGGUAAAUCGUGCAGCUUAACUGUUCGAAUUCCGGGGAGACUGCCAGACUUGGGACCGGGAGAGGUUGGAGGUACUCCUGGGGUAGGGGUAAAAUCCCGUAAUCCUGGGAGGACCACCAGUGGCGAAGGCGUCCAACUGGAACGGAUCCGACGGUCAGGGACGAAGCCCUGGGUCGCGAACUGGAUUAGAUACCCAGGUAGUCCAGGGUGUAAACGCUGCAGACUUGGUGUCGGAGGUCCUACGAGGGCGUCCGGUGCCGGAGAGAAAUUGUUAAGUCUGCCGCUUGGGGAGUACGUCCGCAAGGAUGAAACUUAAAGGAAUUGGCGGGAGAGCACCGCACGGGAGGAGCGUGCGUUCAUUGGACUCAACGCGG